Molecule: microRNA, 23 nt
Filed under: human gammaherpesvirus 4 (Epstein-Barr virus)
Lineage: Duplodnaviria; Heunggongvirae; Peploviricota; Herviviricetes; Herpesvirales; Orthoherpesviridae
Description: Human gammaherpesvirus 4 (Epstein-Barr virus) miR-BART9-3p
Source: RNAcentral
CACUUCAUGGGUCCCGUAGUGAC